This 497-nucleotide ribosomal RNA is filed under the name uncultured bacterium. RNAcentral's name for it is "partial 16S ribosomal RNA". It matches the Rfam family "Bacterial small subunit ribosomal RNA", at positions 28 to 507 of the family's 1533-position model. The record is from RNAcentral.
GAUGAACGCUGGCGGCGUGCCUAAUACAUGCAAGUCGAGCGGACAGACGAGGAUCUUGCUCCUCUUACGUUAGCGGCGGACGGGUAAGUAACACGUGGCUAACCUGUCUAUUAGCCUGGAAUAACUUCUGAACCCCGGAGCUAAUACCUGAUAAUCUAUUGAACCGCAUGGUUCAAUCUUUAGAGGCGGUUUUUCUUUCACUUGUUGAUGGUUCCCCGCCGCAUUAUCUAGUUGGUAAGGUAACGGCUUACUAAGGCAACGAUGGGUAGCCGACCUGAGAGGGUGAUCGGCGACACUGGAACUGAGACAGGGUCCAGACCCCGACGGGAGGCAGAAGUAGGAAAGGUUAAGAAAGGGGCGAAAGCGUGACGGAGAAACGCCGCGGGAGUGAGGAAGGUCUUCGGAUCGUAAUACUCUGUUAUUAGGGAAGAACAAAUGUGUAAGUAACUAGGAACGUCUUGACGGUACCGAAACAGAAAGCCACGGCUAACUACGUG